RNAcentral lists this ribosomal RNA (790 nucleotides) under uncultured bacterium. RNAcentral describes it as "bacterial SSU rRNA". It matches the Rfam family "Bacterial small subunit ribosomal RNA", at positions 654 to 1453 of the family's 1533-position model. The record is from RNAcentral.
GAGGGACACGGAAUUCCCGGAGUAGUGGUAAAAUGCGUUGAGAUCGGGAGGAACGCCAGUGGCGAAAGCGGUGUCCUGGCCUGGAACCUGACGCUGAGGAGCGAAAGCGUGGGGAGCGAACGGGAUUAGAUACCCCGGUAGUCCACGCCGUAAACGAUGCGGACUAGCGUGGGGGACUCACCCCCUUCGUGCCGAAAGGAAACCGAUAAGUCCGCCGCCUGGGGAGUACGACCGCAUGGUUAAACUUCAAAGGAAUUUGACGGGGGCCCGCACAAGCAGCGGAGCGUGUGGUUUAAUUUCGAGGCUACACGAAGAACCUUUACCUGGGUUUGACAUGCAGCUGGUAGGGAACCGAAAGGGGACCGACCUUUCGGGAGGCUGCACAGGUGCUGCAUGGCUGUCGUCAGCUCGUGCCGUGAGGUGUUAGGUUAAGUCCUGUAACGAGCGCAACCCUCGGGGUCAGUUACACGGUGUCUGGCCCGACCGCCCGCGAUAAGCCGGGAGGAAGGUGGGGAUGACGUCAAGUCAGCAUGGCCUUUAUGUCCAGGGCGACACACACGCUACAAUGGCCGGUACAAUGGGUGGCGAAGCGGCAACGCGGAGCAAAUCCAGCAAAGCCGGUCCCAGUUCGGAUUGCGGGCUGCAACUCGCCCGCAUGAAGUCGGAGUUGCUAGUAACCGCCGGUCAGCCAUACGGCGGUGAAUACGUUCCCGGGCCUUGUACACACCGCCCGUCACGUCAUGGGAGCUAGCCAAGCCUGAAGCCAGUGGGCGAACCGCAAGGGCGCAGC